This 880-nucleotide ribosomal RNA is filed under the name uncultured bacterium. Its description in RNAcentral is "bacterial SSU rRNA". It matches the Rfam family "Bacterial small subunit ribosomal RNA", at positions 37 to 916 of the family's 1533-position model. The record is from RNAcentral.
UGGCGGCGUGCUUAACACAUGCAAGUCGAACGAGAAUCUGUGGAUCGAGGAUUCGUCCAAGUGAAGCAGAGGACAGUGGCGGACGGGUGAGUGACGCGUGAGGAACCUGCCUUUCAGAGGGGGACAACAGUUGGAAACGACUGCUAAUACCGCAUGAUACGUAUUGGGGGCAUCCCUGAGACGUCAAAGAUUUAUCGCUGAAAGAUGGCCUCGCGUCUGAUUAGCUAGUUGGUGAGGUAACGGCCCACCAAGGCGACGAUCAGUAGCCGGACUGAGAGGUUGACCGGCCACAUUGGGACUGAGAUACGGCCCAGACUCCUACGGGAGGCAGCAGUGGGGAAUAUUGGGCAAUGGGCGCAAGCCUGACCCAGCAACGCCGCGUGAAGGAAGAAGGCUUUCGGGUUGUAAACUUCUUUUAAGAGGGAAGAGCAGAAGACUGUACCUCUAGAAUAAGCCACGGCUAACUACGUGCCAGCAGCCGCGGUAAUACGUAGGUGGCAAGCGUUGUCCGGAUUUACUGGGUGUAAAGGGCGUGUAGCCGGGAAUGCAAGUCAGAUGUGAAAUCCAUGGGCUUAACCCAUGAACUGCAUUUGAAACUGUAUUUCUUGAGUACUGGAGAGGCAAUCGGAAUUCCUAGUGUAGCGGUGAAAUGCGUAGAUAUUAGGAGGAACACCAGUGGCGAAGGCGGAUUGCUGGACAGCAACUGACGGUGAGGCGCGAAAGUGUGGGGAGCAAACAGGAUUAGAUACCCUGGUAGUCCACACUGUAAACGAUGAAUACUAGGUGUGCGGGGACUGACCCCCUGCGUGCCGCAGUUAACACAAUAAGUAUUCCACCUGGGGAGUACGAUCGCAAGGUUGAAACUCAAAUGAAUUGACGG